This 42-nucleotide ribosomal RNA is filed under the name Raillietina dromaius. Its description in RNAcentral is "partial 28S ribosomal RNA". Lineage: Eukaryota; Metazoa; Platyhelminthes; Cestoda; Cyclophyllidea; Davaineidae. The record is from RNAcentral.
UCGGAUCAGUCGUGAUUACCCACUGAACUUAAGCAUAUCAAU